UGCCUGAGCAGAGGGCCCAGGUGAGCAGCUGAAUGUCAUAGAAUCACAGAGUGGCCUGGGUUGAAAAGGACCACAAUUUCUUUGGGAUGGAUUGGUAAGAGCGAAGCAUUGAAGCUUGUGUGCGGUGUGAGCCAGGCGUGUGGUACUGAACCUGGAAAUAGAGCUUUGCAGUGGCAGUUAGCUGUGGACGUGUCCUAACCUACCUCAGGAACAAAGCCCACCCUUGCUGCUUCAUGCAUUGGAGGAUAAAGGCUAUUUCCUACUGAGAAAACCAGUGUUUGUGGCAGCCUCAUCAAGCAGUCGUACCUCUGGUGCUCAGUUCAUGUUCUUAGAUAAGCUACCUUGUUCCUCCUUUCUCCUCCCCAACUUUGAAUACAUUUCUCUUUUGUUCCUCUAAAUAGCUGCUGCCUUCUCAAAGGAGCCCGCGUCUGUAGCGCGCAGAACACAACCAGUGUAUUUGCAUUCUGUUUGCAAAGCAUGAUACAGGUACUUGCAGCCAAAAUGUAAAGACACCCACGUGCCCUGGCUGAUGUUGUGCAGGAACAUCGUCAAGAGUUGGAUGUGAAAAGAGUCGUGGCAGAUUCCCUGAGCCCUUGGCACGACGCUUAUUGCACCAAAGGCAGGAGGCAGCCCCUCCUGCUGCCACACCAAGGAUGCCAGCAAAGAACAAGUGCUAAGGUGGCAAGAAGGCAUCGCUCCUUGGGCACAGGCAUCCCUGCGCUCUUACACUGAGUCCCAUGCAGAAGGUGCUGUGCUGGGCCACCACAGGACGAUGCAGGGCUGCCCAUGAAAUCACCUGCAGCAAAGUGUGACUGCUCCAGGCUUUGAAAGCAACUCUCCCUUUUGCAAUUAACUGCAGGAUGCAAUUAGUUGAUUUCUUCCCCCAUGGAAGGAGCUAAAGAGAUGCAAUGACCCAACAUCUCAAGGUAGUGCAAAAGAUGUUUGGGCCAACUCAAAGAAUCCUCAUUGGAGGGGGAUGGGGAGGCUCUGCCACCUUUGGGUGCUGCUCCCUGCUCUCUGCCUUGUCCCCAUGCACUGAGCACUGCUCAGCACAGCCAUCGUUAAGCGCCGGUUUUAUUGCACAGUGCUGCUGUCUGCCAGCAAAGACCUGAUGCGUCGUUCUAUCAGUGCAUGCUUAUUAAAUUUACAAUUCAUAAUCAAAAUCUUACGACAUUGUUUUGCAGAAAAAGGCCUUUGUGAGGGCUUGCUUCUUUUAAUACCAACAUAAAGGCUUCAAAUGGU
Long non-coding RNA from Coturnix japonica (Japanese quail), 1242 nucleotides. RefSeq lists it as uncharacterized. Lineage: Eukaryota; Metazoa; Chordata; Aves; Galliformes; Phasianidae. The record is from RefSeq and is a predicted model, not a curated record.